AGUCACUAGUGGUCAACUUAAUGGUCGCUCCACCCAGCCCAGGUUGCGAGGCGGAGCGGCAGGCUGGAGCUCUUGAGUGUGGGUGGCGGAACUGGGGAGUGUGCCUCAAAUACUACACGGCAAGAGAGAAUCAAGAAGAAAAUACUACACUGGUGGCCUUGGUUGGCGGAAGAGUGACUCAUGCAUCUCACGCACAGAAGACGGCUUUAUACAUGCAUAAAGCGGUUAUUAAACACAAGCAUCAGUUCAGCAGCACGUGUUGCUUACUUCUUUAUCGUGCCAUAUUUCGCACACCAGACAAGAUCAUUGAAUAAGAAAAUGGACUUUCCCAUUCAAGUCAUCGAACUGUGGACCGUCUCUGAAUGAAUAGUCUUCUUGUUUACAACAAUCGUGUGCUGGCAGCGCGACCUUACCGCAGAAGACGAGAUUAAUCUCGAUAACGAGCCCAAGCUCGGCGAUCGCCGCCGCGUUGGGGAGGAAGUCUGUUAUGCUGUAUAUAUACUGUUUGUUUUUGUGAAAAGUACAUUGUGACGUAAUUUCUGACAAAGGAAGGCUCUCUCUCAACACAUUGCAUAGAGCUGGCACUCCGACAAUGCGUCAUUUUAAAAAAUGAUGAUGAAUUUGAUGAUUUUUAUAUCAACAUUCAGUGUAUGGAACUAAAGUAAACAAUAUCCAUGUAAUUGAUCCUUAAUUGCUAUUUACAUAAAACAGUAAUAAUUGGUGAGUAGGGGAGAAAUACAGAGUGUUCUAAUUGUAUUGGAUAAAUGUGUGAAUGGCGUAAAGUUAGGGAACUUGUCAAGAUGAGCCCACUUGAGCUGCCCGGCAGUGGACGCCGACCCUUUCUUUCAUGUGGACCCAGGAAUUAGGUUUGUUUAUUAUUUUAUGUGUUACACUCAUGUUUGAUGAACACUACAAAUGCUGAAUUAUUAGGAAAAUCAGCUUUUGUAAAUAUCAUAAUUAUUGUUAUCGUCAUCAUCAUCAUCGUUAUUAUUAUCAUUACCAUUAUCAGUAUAAUUGUUACAGAUUUAUCAUUAUCAUUAUUUUUUUCCAUGCUACACAGGAUGUUCUUGUUGUUAUUGUUAUAUACUAUUGCUUCUUUUUAUGUAUUACAUGUUUGUUUCGCUACUCGUUUAUGCAUAAUAGUUUCUCUCUCUCUCUCUCUCUCUCUCUCUCUCUCUCUCUCUCUCUCUCUCUCUCUCUCUCUCUCUCCAUCCCUCCAUCCUUCCCCUCCUAUCUCCCCUCCCUCUCAGUUUCCCGUCACAUCAACUGCUUCCCUAUGGACUCAAUGUUAUCAGAAGCCUAUGUACUCACUCUCUCUCUCUCUCUCUCUCUCUCUCUCUCUCUCUCUCUCUCUCUCUCUCUCUCAUUUUCUAUCCCUGUUCACUUUUAUCUCCCCCUCUCUGCCUUUCUCCCAGUCACCUCUUCCCUCCCUCUGUUCUUCACCCCUCCCUGACCAAUCCUCCCACAGCCAUACACAGUAACAUUGCCCCAUAUGAACAGGAAAGGGGUGGGGGAGAU
Molecule: long non-coding RNA, 1518 nt
Organism: Scylla paramamosain (green mud crab)
Lineage: Eukaryota; Metazoa; Arthropoda; Malacostraca; Decapoda; Portunidae
Exons: 3
Source: RefSeq, a predicted model, not a curated record